UUACGUGUCCUCUUACGGGGCUUUGCAUGGUUCUAGAUUGCCUUUCAUUAUUCCCUGAAAGUGUGAAAAAUCUGCUAGGCUGUAUUUUGUUUUAUUUGGUUUCAGUCGUAUAAAGAAAACACCAGUUGAUUGGUGUUCUUUAUUAAAGCGGUAAAGUGUAUUCAAUGUAAUUUACUAAAAGUCAUUAAAUUCAAACUUCAGCACAGAUAGAAUUGUCCUAUUGGAUCAACCAGCUGCUGGCAUAUAUGGAGGUUUGGGAAGGAGCGACGUAGUGGGAUGGAAAGGGAUAAUGUUAGGUUUUGAGGCAAAACAACUACCAGUCUUCAUCUUUAAAGCAUUUGAGUAAAUACAUGCAAACGGGGACAUGCAUUAUUGGUGAUACUUGACCCUCACUAUUUCCCAUAAAACGUUCUUCUAUUCAAAAUAUAGGAACACAACGAUUUAGGGAGCGAAAGUCCAGAACUACUUCCAAAAUGUACAAAACGCCUUACAAGCUAAUCAAUAAAGUCCAUAACUGAAGGUUAUCAUCAUUAGUCUUGUAACCUUUUUUUUCAAAAAUAAAAACAAAGUUUUGUUUUUGAAAGACCUGGAAGCUGAUUCUUUGUAUUUAAUGAAUGGCAAGGCACCCAGUUGUACAGUUUACAAUGGUUUACUCAUGAAAUUGUUUCUGGUUCUAUUCCGCUGGCUUGUUUUUAAAGUCCGGCGCGUUCCAUUCAAGUGUUCUGAUCACAGGUUUCAGCUCUGAGACCACGGGAAUCUCGGCAGUUCCAAGAAAAGCAGCAUGGAGCAGUCAGCUGUGGCCAAGGGCUCUCAUCCUAAACUUGUCAAGUGGUGAGAACGGAAAUAGAAAAACAACAAUCUCAAUAUAUUCAAUAAAAAGGUUUAUUUGUGCAGCAUUAGCUAUAACAAAUGUACUUGAAUUGCUUUUAAAAAUCGAGUUAACUAAAUGCAUUAGAAAUGAUAAAAAGUUAUAUAAUGGUCAAUUACUUGUAUUUUUGGAUAACAAUGUUUUUAAAGAUUUUUUUUUUGUUGCGCACAAAAUCCGAAUUAUGGGUAAAUUCAGUGUUUAAACUAUAAUAUUGGCAUCAUUGGUCCUUAGACAUUCAAAGAGUUACAAAUAGGCAUGCACAGCAAAUCAACGAGCCAUCUCUACGUUACAAAAUAUCUUGUAGAAAGUGAAAUGAUAUGUGUAUCCCCGGAAUAAAACAAAUAUGUAUUUCUAUAGUGCAGAACUACAUCGGAACGGUUACCCCUCGUGAAAUAAAGAAUUAUUAUACAUCUCUUGAAACUUGUUUUUUGAUUUAGCCCUGGAUCAAAAAUUCCGCACCCAAAUCAUGCCCAAUUUUUUGGUAAUAAAAACAGUUUUAACCCACAGGAAGUGGAGACUCCAGAAGCCGUUAUUGUGAAUGACGAUCACACUGCACGUCUCAUCUAGUCUCACUUUCUUUGAAUCUGUGAGGACACAUACAUACUUUUGGUUUCCAGUAGAAAGUAAGCAUUGUAUUUGCAGGGGGGGUUUUUUAAAAAUUAUUUGGCCACUUCCAUUAUUCCGAGUGGAAAGGUUUUCCAACGUUAUUUUUGCAAUAAUGGGAAAAGAUCAGGCAAACAUAUUUUAGGGCACCUGUAAAUCUGCAAUUCUUCCCGUUUCAUACAGCAAGCUAUGGCACGGAUGUAAGUCACAGAUUUGUGGCUGUAAUUUCAAGUCCAACAAUAGUUUGUAUAGUUUAUAUCACAUUAUGAAAAACCACUGAAAACUAAAGUGUCAUUGCAUCUUUAUAGAAAAUGAUCAAGUUAUCUCAAUAUGAGUUUUAAUACUUACAUUUUUUUUACUGUACUAAAAUUCUAAUUCCUCAUUCUAGCAAUGUUUUGUUGAGACAUUUAUAUUGUACUCUCUUUUUUAUAGGUUACUUGAGCAUUUUUAUGUCUGUGAAGGUUGGAGCAUUCCUCGCAGUCUCAUUUAUCAGUUCUACCUGGAAUAUUGUAAGCACAACAGAUUAAAUCCAAUAAAUGCAGCUACCUUUGGAAAGCUCGUUCGUUCAGUAUUUACUGAUUUGAGAACUAGACGAUUGGGAACAAGAGGAUGUGCAAGAUAUCACUAUGAGGGAAUACGCGUGAGACCACAUUCUCCUCUGUAUGGUCAGUACUCCUCCCUCAUGACCAAUAAGCAGUUUGAAAGCUUAGACUUUUCUAAUUUGGAAGGAGAAAGUUUAUUUACCAUCAGUAAUAAAUGC
Leucoraja erinaceus (little skate) is the source of this 2231-nucleotide long non-coding RNA. RefSeq lists it as uncharacterized. The record is from RefSeq and is a predicted model, not a curated record. The transcript is spliced from 4 exons. Lineage: Eukaryota; Metazoa; Chordata; Chondrichthyes; Rajiformes; Rajidae.